AGUGAACGCUGGCGGUAGGCCUAACACAUGCAAGUCGAACGGCAGCACAGUAAGAGCUUGCUCUUACGGGUGGCGAGUGGUGGACGGGUGCGGAAUACAUCGGAAUCUACUUUUGCGUGGGGGAUAACGUAGGGAAACUCACGCUAAUACCGCAUACGACCUACGGGUGAAAGCACGGGCGCUUCGUACCUUGCGCGAUUGAAUGAGCCGGUGUCGGAUCAGCGAGCUGGCGGGGGUACGGCCCACUAAGGCGACGCGCCGUAGCUGGUCUGGGAGAUGGAUAGGCCACACUGGGACAGAGACACGGGCCAGACUGCUACGGGGGGCCGGAGUGGGGUAUAUUGGACGAUGGGAGCAAGGCAGAUCCAGCCAUGCCGCGUAGGUUGAGAGGGCCUUCGGGUUGUAAAGCGGUUGUGUUGGGAAUGAAAAGCAGCAGGUUAAUACCCCGCUGUUCUGACGGUACCCAAAGAAUAAGCACCGGCUAACUUCGUG
RNAcentral lists this ribosomal RNA (492 nucleotides) under uncultured bacterium. RNAcentral's name for it is "partial 16S ribosomal RNA". It matches the Rfam family "Bacterial small subunit ribosomal RNA", at positions 30 to 507 of the family's 1533-position model. The record is from RNAcentral.